AAUCAAUGGAAUGGAGGUCUCUGUUGUUGAUACUUUUGGAAAGGAUAAUCAUACUACGACCAAAAAGGCUUGAUCGUUCUCUAUUGCUAGUGCUUUUUGGAAAGGAUAAUCAUACUACGAGAUGAUUAUUAGUUUGGUGUUUAUGUUUUUAUAGAAAUGUUGUUAGAAAUUAUGUGGGAUAAAAUUGUUAUUGUCCUUUUUUUUUCACACCACUUGAUGGAUGAUCUGUUGCUUUUGUAUGUAUCUGUUAACUGCUUGUAUAUGCAUCCGAUAUCACGUUGAAUGGUCUCAAUGAAUGGAUACCUACAGUUGGCAGCUUUAGUUCAUUGCUAUUGUUGGUCUGCAAUCAAAGCUGAAAGU
RNAcentral lists this long non-coding RNA (360 nucleotides) under Olea europaea (common olive). RNAcentral describes it as "long non-coding RNA (OEUR_LNC008562)". Lineage: Eukaryota; Viridiplantae; Streptophyta; Magnoliopsida; Lamiales; Oleaceae. The record is from RNAcentral.